UAAGGUACCACCGGUGUUCGGGUGUUGUGUGUGUGUGUGUGAUAGAGAGAGAUGGAGGAGUCCGGCGGGUAGGAGAAGCAGGGGUAGUGGCCUCGCUCCAGAGCGUCCGAGCGUGAGGGGGGUUAGAAGAGCCGGGGAGGAGCAGCUCAGACAGCGACUUCACGGGUUCCUAGGCGAGCUCGAGCCGUACCAGCGACCCGCGCCCUGAGCAGAGGUAGUCUAACCCCCGUCACCGUUAGCACGUAGCGUUGGAGGCGCGGGCCACGGAGGUAGAGGUAGAGCGAGCAGCCACCGAGGGUGGUGGGACACGCACGCUGACGCGGCGUGGGAUGGGACGGAUCCAGGCCGUCGUCACGGCGCCACCGACCAGGGACGUUCACGUUCGGCCGCGGUAAUCUGCUAGAUAAGGGGUGAAGUCGAAAGUAUAGACGAACAUAGACUACGAAUGUUCUUUACCUAAAACUUCUGGUAGAUUGAUAGAUUCUCAGUACCUUAAGCAAGGUAGGAUUUAAAAACCCUGAGACCUUAUUUGUGUUUCUACCCUUACCCCUACGUAUGGACGGACGGUAUGUGUAACUGUACAAAAGUUAUGAGUAGGGCUUCGAAAAGUCGCAACAUGUCUUCUUCAAUAACUGUCCAAAUGAAGUACUAUCAGAACCGAAAACAAAACCGGUUUUACUAGUCCGUCCACGCAACGGACUCCUCAAGCAGCCGCGGAUGCAGCAGCCGGCGCUUUCCCCCGCUACCGGUUUUGACCGACCCGCCGCUGCCGCGUUGUCACCGAACGCCGCGGCUGCAGAGUGACGUCACAGGCAGACUUGUCGCUGUAGCUUCUUUCUGUGACUCUAAUUGACCCUACCUUGGCCGGUGUAUAACGCGUGUUCUCCUAUCAGACGUGGACGAAAGCGCUCUUCGAGAAGCCGCGCCAGCAGCAGGCGCGGUGUACCGACGCUACCGCGUCCUGUCCGAGACGCCGACGCUGCAUGCAGGCCCACCCGUUCCCAUCCUUCUAGGUAGACUAAGGGCAUUCAAAUCGAUGAACAACAAUCCGCCUGCACAAAUUAACGGCAAUUAACACCGAUUAAAAGACAUCAAAUCGGUAAACAACAACCCUGCGCUUGUCUUAAACACCUUGGCAAGGCUAGAACACGCUCGCACUCAGGUCGUCUCAAAAGCAGGCGGUUCAAGAGAACAAAGACUAAAAUGUGUUUUAAGAUAAAUUGUAUAUACACGCAAGAAGUAAACGAAGGGAUUAGG
Molecule: ribosomal RNA, 1257 nt
Filed under: Triticum aestivum (bread wheat)
Lineage: Eukaryota; Viridiplantae; Streptophyta; Magnoliopsida; Poales; Poaceae
Description: partial small subunit ribosomal RNA
Source: RNAcentral